Lates calcarifer (barramundi perch) is the source of this 5010-nucleotide RNA transcript. It is a transcript of the gene named BRCA1 associated RING domain 1, with no coding region annotated. The record is from RefSeq and is a predicted model, not a curated record. Lineage: Eukaryota; Metazoa; Chordata; Actinopteri; Centropomidae. The transcript is spliced from 16 exons.
GGCGGGAGAUGCAAGUAACAAGGAAGUAAGGUCGGCUUGUUUUGCAAUCUUGAUUCGUGAGCAAAGUUAGAAACGCAGAGUCCUGGAAAGUAACAGAAAUUCUCCUAAUAAUGGAUAACGAUGUCCCCGUUCAGACAAAAGACUGGAAGAACACUAAAGUCGCCGUUGCGAACUUUCGACGACUUCUACUUUGCUCCAAAUGCUCAAACUUAAUGAAGGAACCUGUGUGUUUAGGAAUGUGUGAGCAUAUGCUGUGCAGGUCUUGUGCUGGCCUCCGGGCAGGAGAUGGCUGUGUGGUGUGUCACAGCCCUGCAUGGGUGAAGGACAUCCAAAUCAACAGGCAACUGAGCAGCAUCAUACAGCUCUUCAGCAGUUUGGAAUCACUGCUCAAUCCCAUAGAACAACCAGACUCCACUGUUGAGAUUCAGACACAACCCGGGAGCCCUGUUUUAAAACAGAAGAAGAACUUCAAGAUCUGGUUCAGCCCCCGCAGCCGCAAGGUACGCUGCACAGUGGAGAAGCCCUCAGAGGUCUCUGUGCCGGACAGCAGGUCUCCUGGAGAAACCGUUGCAGCACAGUCAGACAUUAUUGCUCAAUGCCAAGACCUGUCAGUUUUCAAUUUCACCUCGUCCUCCCAAGACUCUGGCUCUUCUUCUCAAAGAUGCAGCAAUGAAAACAGAAACAGGAAGAAGAGGUCACCUAAGAAAAAUGCUGCUAGCAGGAAGACAUUGGUGCAGGGAGCCACCAGGACCACACAAAAGCAGACCAAGGAGAAGAUGAAAAAGAAGAGGCUGGACGACAUAAAUCAGAAAUGGGGGCUCAUUGAGGUGGAUGCCUUAAAGGAAAAGGAGGAGCAGCCCUUUGCUGAAGGCGCAGGGAAGUCCAGUAAAAGGGUUUCCUUCCUAAGCCCUGCUGUCACCUCUGAUGAGCCUCAGUCUGAAGUGCCACAGGGGAGUACUAAUAAACUCAGCCCUGGCAGGAGCACCAUGAGGGAGAGCCUCUCAGGAGGCAGCAUGGCAGAAAAGAAUUACAAAGCCUCAGCUAGUCAAAGCAUAUCAGACAGUGUCAUCCAGCAAAACACGCUGUCUGCAAAUGACCUCAACCCGACUGAUGAUCCUGAAAAACAGGACAAUAUUUCUCCCCUAAAGCAUUCCUCGAAAAGACCCAGAGUGGUGGAGAAAGUCGGCACCUUGGAGACCACACCAAAAAGGCCCAGGGCUUCCCCUGGCCGACAGAGAAAAUCGCUGGGUCAGAUGUCGCCAGUUGUCCUCAACCCUCCACUUUUGACUAGCCCCAGGUGUGAAAAGAGCACCAAAAUCUCCAGAGAAGAGCAUGGAGACAGCCAAUCUGUUUUAGCCAGCGUUGGUAGGAAAUCUCCCCGUACUCAUGGUGCACCUGUUGGACGGCCCAGUUCAGGAAGCCCUGCAGUUACAAAGAGGAACCACAAGGGAGAGACCCUGCUGCAUCUAGCUGCUAUAAAGGGAGAUGUAGAGGCUGUCAAGGAACUGCUGGACCAGGGGGCUGACCCUAACCUGAAAGAUAAUGCUGGGUGGACACCUCUGCACGAAGCAUGUAACCUGGGUCACAUGGCAGUUGUGGAGGUGUUGGUUUCAAGGGGAGCCCUACUGAACACACCUGGCUAUGAAAACGACUCCCCACUCCAUGAUGCAGUGAGGAAUGGACAUUCAGCCAUUGUCAAAUUGCUGUUGCAACUUGGUGCCUCACAGAACGUACUUAAUCUGUAUGGAAAGCGGCCUGCAGAUUAUGCAGUGAGUCUGGAGAUGCUGGAGAUUUUCCAGGAAGCCUCAGAAGGAACCCAAUAUGCUAAUACAUCUUUUAGUCCCUCAACCAGUCUCUCUAUGGUGAGUGACUUCGUGAGGAAGGAUGAAAUGAUGGUGUUUCUGCCCAGCAAGCUGUCUCCGCCAGCACAGCUUCAACUGACCAAACUGGGACAGCUACUUGGAGGCAGGGUGGCUGACACCUUCUCCGGCUCAGUGAGCCAUGUCGUGGUGCCAGAAGGACACAUGCCCACCACCUACUCCACCCUCCUGGGUCUCCUUGCUGGCUGCUGGGUUGUCAGAUACAGCUGGGUGGAGGCAUGUUUGCAGGCAGGCAAGUGGAUGCCUGAAACUGAGCAUGAAGCAGGAGAAGGCCCCCAGCGCAGUCGCAUCAACAGAUGUAGCUUGCUCCCACCACUCUUCGAUGGCUGUUUCUUCUUCCUCCUGGGCUCCUUUAAGACGCCGACCAAAGAUGAACUCACCAAGCUGCUCCGGGAAGGAGGAGGUCAGCUCCUGAGCCGACAGCCCAAACCUGACAGCGAUGUGACACAAACUCUGAACGCUGCUGCCUACCACGCCCUGCCAGGCUCCGACCAGGCCCUCUGCACCCAAUACAUCAUCUUUGACCCACAGGGCCCUCACAAGCCGACAGUGGUCAGACGAGGCAAGCCAGAAGCAUCUGCGGAGAGGUGAGGGUCCAGGCAGAAAGAUGCGGGAGAGAGACUUUCAGCACAGGAAAGACAGACAGCACAAAAUCAUGAAUUUGAGAGAGAUCUGCCACUAUUACCAUCAUGAAAAGGGAUGAGCCUGUGAAAACCAUCAGAUAGUAGGACACCUUCCCAUAUGUUAGUUGACUGCAAAAGAGAUAGUCAUGUGAUGGUGUGAAAAUUUAUGCCUAUGUCCAUUCUUAAGAAACAUCCCGAAGCCUCCCCACAUGUGCAGGAGCACCAGUGAAACCCUUGGGUGCCAGUCCUGUAUAUUAGCCAAUCAGUGAUCCACUGCAUUUGGAAAUGGGUGGGACUAAAGCGAAGGAGACAAUGCAGGGAAACGAGGGAAACAAGUGAAACACGAAGCGAAUUAGAGCACCGUUCGUAAGUGUAGUAAAGACUGUCAAAUCACGGUUAGUUACAAGUAUUAAGUUUUGCAUUAUGUUGUAACACCGUAAACGGUAAACGUUUUGAUAUGUUAUUGAUAUGAUAUUUCAACUUAAUUGACACGAACGGUGUAACCACUUCAUCCACUGUUGUUAGUUAGCUGUGGCCCUCACUAGCUAGGAGGAUGAGAGACUGCGUGGGAAACACAUCUUCUACCGAAUUUCUAGCCAUGCACACUAUAGUGAAGUGGGGAUGCUCAGAAGCCUGCCUUCUUCAGAUUGAGCCAUUGGACAUGUUUCUUCACCACACUGACUGGAUAUUGCUGGAUUGUUGGCUAGUAGCUCUCAGGAACAAGGAUUAUCCACCUGGAGCAGUUGGCUGUCACUCUGGCUGCACUGCAAAUCCAAGGGGAAGCCCAGGGGAAUGCUGUGGCCCCCACAUCUCUUUACACCGUACAGUAUCAGCUUAAGCAAGGACAAGACCCAUCAAUAUUAGUCUGUCAUCUUAUCUGAUAGAGACAAGCCCAGUGCUGAAUCACCAAGCUCAGAACGGGCUACACUCCCUUUCCUCUAUGAAUAUGAAUGGCCACUACACUCCCCAACUCCUAAAAACUUCUCUUCUAUUUUGCAGUAUGUAAAAGUUGUAUCGGUUAACAUGCAGAAGAGGAGUAGGUUUACCAUGACAUCAAUUAGUACUAAAUACUCAUAGUAUAAUAUAGAUAUGAAACAGUGGACCAGGAAUCCUAAGAAUUCUGACCUUAUGGUAGCAAGAUACUUAGAUCUUUCAUAGCAAUACACAGCAAUGAAUAACUGACAAAUGUAACAGUGCUAUAAUGCUGCCUACACCAAGGUUUGCAACAUUGAUGUGGGCUGUUGUGUUACAUCUGUUGGAUAUCAAAAGGUCUACUGGGCAGAGUACAGUCCAACAUAAUACUGAUACACUCAUCUUUGACCCUCAUUAUCUCUGCAUUCGGAAAGAAGAGGAGUAACAAAAUGCAACUGAUGUAAUGUGUGGUAAAGUACAGCUGUGGGUGAUAAUACAAUUCCUGUGCAAGAGUAAUGAGUUGUAUUUUUGCUUUCAGCUAGCACCCCCAAUGUUCACCUUCCAUGAUUAAAAUCUCUCUAUCUCCAACUUUUCACCCUCUUUAAGUUAUGUGUCUCUCCCAGCAGGGCGAUGGAGGAGUUGCCCUGAACACAUAACUUUGUUAAACUCAAGCCUUCACCCCCCCACCCCCACCCCUAUCAUCCAUCUUCUCUCUCAUUAAGCACUAUUAAUUGUCCGCACAUGUACCAUGAGGCAUUGUUUAUUAAUUCACAUCCUAUGCCCAUUAGGUCCCAUCAAGCAUCUCUAGACAAAUGGCCACCCAUUAGACAGCUCAGUCUUCUAAUGAGAGACGGUUGCAUGUAUGUGUUUGUAAAACUCACAUUUUUCAUUUCUCCAUCCUCAGCAUUAGAGUUACUGUGAAGAUUUGCCAUCUGCAAUUUAAAACUCUAAUAUGGGUACAGUUAGUAAUGAACUUUAUUUAUAUAGUGCCUUUUGUACACAGAAUGCAGUGAUUAAUUUAAAGGUAAAGUGAAAAAAAGGUCCACUGUAUAAAUAUUAAAUGGAUAGUCCAGAUUGUUUUGAUAUAAGAUGGUGUUAGGUAUUCAUCAAUAUGGAUGUUAGCUGAAGCUGUGAGUCCUGAAAGUCAUAGAUAGCUACUCGAGAAAAAGAGGGUAACUUGUUAAAUGCAAAUCAAGGCUACACGUAAAUUGCUUAUGUAUUGCUUGUUGGCCUUGAAUUACCCCGAACUAUUUGCAUAGCAUAUAACAAAAGGUGUUAUUGCAAACAGUACAGUGUACUGAAACUGUGGUGUGUAGUGUGAUUCUUUCUAGUAGAAACAAUGUGGAACUUAAGUCUGUUUCUACCAUACUCUGCACAACACAUGGUGGCUUAUGAUGAAAUAUAUUUGAAAACGUGUCAGAGAGAGGACACUGCAUUCAAGAUCUUAAUGUCACGAUCAAAACUGUCUUGCUCCUUUUAUUAAUGUCCAUUAUUGGGUCUUUUCACAUUAUUGUGUUUAACUUCAAUGUUCAAACCGUGAGAGCUAAAAGCCUGCUUCAUUUGAAAGCACUGAUAAUAAAUAUAUAUGGCAUGUG